Long non-coding RNA from Orcinus orca (killer whale), 8500 nucleotides. RefSeq lists it as uncharacterized. The record is from RefSeq and is a predicted model, not a curated record. The transcript is spliced from 5 exons. Lineage: Eukaryota; Metazoa; Chordata; Mammalia; Artiodactyla; Delphinidae.
CCUCCUCUCUUCCUUGCCUGCGCUGCAUGAAGAGGAGCUGUACCCAGUAGGCCCUAAUAAAUACUGAUUGGUUGAUUGGAUUGGUCGGUUUAAUUGAUUCAUAGGUCUUGCCUGGGAACCGCCCGCACUGGGAUGGAAUCCACGCCCAGUCUCCUAUUAAGCCCCUUGAUCCUGGGCAAAACAUUGCCCCACUUGGAGCCUCAGUUUCCCCUUCUGAAAAAUGGGUAGACUCGGCCUUGCCUCCCAGGGUUGAUAGCCCCAAAUAAAAAAUAUAUAUAUUAUAUAAAAUAUUAAUAUAUAAAUAUUAAUAUAUAAAUAUUUAGAUUUUGAUAUAAAUCUGAAGUGGCUAAUUGGGUGCAGGGCUGAGAGUGCUAAAUGUAAGCUCCAUUUAGACAUGAAUCUUUAAAUAUUUUGUUACUGCUUUGUACCUCAGUGCCGAGUAGGUGCUCCAUAUUUGUAAACUGAAUCUACAGAUAUUGAGUGCCUGUAAUGUGCUAGGCACCGUUUUUGUUCUAAAUUGUUGGGGAAAGAGCGGCGAACAAGACAGUCUCUACCUUAGUUGAGGUUCUGUGCCUCGUCAAAUCAUAUGGGUGACUUUGUGCAAAUAACACUUUCUUAAGUGUCUCUUGUCCUCAUCUGUAAUAUGGGAAGAACAGUAGUUGAAGGAUUCACUGAGGUUAGACAGUUAAAGCGCUUAGAAUAGGACAGGGCCUUGCACACAUUAAAUGUUAGAUAUUAUUAAAUAAAUACAUAGGAUCAUUUUUGACAAUGUAAGUGUAAUAGAGGAAAAGAAUGAGCUAAAGAGUGCCUGGGGGUUGGGAACAGGCCACUUUGUUAGUGUGGUCACUAAAAACUUAACUUUUUUUGGAUAAAAUUUCAAAUUUACAUAUAAAUUACAAGAAUAGUAAAGAAUCUCAUAAUUUAACCAUAAUAAUAAUUUGUUAUAUUUUACUACAUUUGCAUUAUCAUAUUCUCUCUUGUGUAUUUGUUUGUGUAUGUAUUAUAUAUAAUAUGUUUUUGUAUUUUCUUUUCCCCCAAAACCACUUUAGACUAAAUUUCAGACAUCAUUCCCCUUUCAUUCCUAAAUAUUUCUGUGUGUUCUUCCUAAGAACAUGGAUAUUCUCUUGCAAAAUCUCAGUACAAUUAUCAAAAUCAAGAAUUUUGACAAUAAUGCAAUUCUUUAAUAUGUCUUCCAUAUUUAAAUUUUGCUAAUUGUCCCAAUAAUAUAGCUAUUUCCUACGAUCCAGUCAGGAUCACUUUGCAUUUAGUUGUCAUGACUCCAGAGUUUCCUUUACUCUAGAAAGGCAGUUAAUUAUUCAGCUUUUCUUUGUCCUUUAUGACCUUAACUUUUUUUUUUUUUUUUUUUUUUUGCGGUACACGGGCGUCUCACUGUUGUGGCCUCUCCCGUUGCGGAGCACAGCCUCCGGACGCGCAGGCUCAGCGGCCAUGGCUCACGGGCCUAGCCGCUCCGCGGCAUGUGGGAUCUCCCCGGACCGGGGCACGAACCUGUGUCCCCUGCAUCGGCAGGCGGACUCUAAACCACUGCGCCACCAGGGAAGCCCUGACCUUAACAUUUUUGAAGAGUACUGCUAAAAACAUCUCAACUGAUAUAACAAACUUGCCCUGUAGGGUGAUGGAUUAAGCAGAAGGCUUGAAUCUAUGCUACUCCCUGUGUGGCCACGCUCCCAUUGGAUCAACCCAACCAGAAGACAGAAGGCAAAGGAUUCCAGGUGAUACAGUCUGUAGAGGUCAGCCUCCUGGGGAACAAGGAAUCACCUCAGGAUGCACGCGGCAUGAAAGAGGUCCAGAAGCCCUUAUGUGCUCACGAUAUGGAAAACAGGCACAGAAAUUGGAGAACUUGCCCCAAACCAUGCAGGAGGAGGCAGAACCAAAGAUUCAGUUGUCUGAUUUGAAAGGCAGCAAUCCUAACCACUAUAAUUUUCUGCCUCUCAGACAGAGGGUUGAUGAGAACACUGAGUCUCAGAGAGGUGAUGUGACUUCCCCAAGGUUGCACAGCUAAUGGGUGACUUUAGACCACUUAUCCUCUGUGUUCCUCCAUUGAAGCUGCCAUGGCCCUGACAGCACUGCCUGCCUUUCGGGCUUAUUUCUGUGUGAGCCAUGGCUGGCUCUCAAUCUGCAGUGGUAUUGCCUAGCUUGAUCUGCUUCCUUACUCUGCAGCUGUGGUACCCAGUGACCUUUGGCUGUUCCCACACAUUCAAUUCCAUCCUCAAAGCACAGGAUUUUUCAAAUCAAGAAAGUUCUUUAGAAGAAUGUGCCUCAGGCUCAGAAGGACUUUCCAACAGAAAUUUCCGACAUUCCAAGGAUAGUUUGUGCUUUGAGCACUGCCUGGCUGCAGACCUCUCGCCCUUCUGGCAGGUCUCUGCCCUCUCCUACACCUUCCUCUGUCUGCUUUGCAAAUGAGGGGUAGCAGUGAGCCAGGCGGGAUGCCAGGGAUAAGAGAAAGUGAACAUGAGCUCUACUGUCACACAGACCUGUGACCCAGGGCAACUGUUAAACCUCUCUGAACCCCUACUUACUUACCUGUAAAAUGGGAUUUUGAAUAACCUCUUCCUCGUAGGGUUGUUGUGAGGAUUAAAUGAGGCAGUAUAUGUGUUUCCCAGAGCUCCUUUCAGUGUAGGCCUUGUUGCCUGUAGCUGCACAAUUGACUGUAGCUCCCACACUUAAGAGAGAAUAUCUAGAGGCUGCUGCAGGACCCCGUGUGGCCGUCCCUGGAGCCCACGUGUCUGUCCACCAGUCCGGGGGAGCACAAUGUGCCUUCUGCUUCUCUUCUGCUUCCCAGAUCUGAUGUGAGUGCCUUUCAUUGGCAGAUCCCAGUGCAAACCUGUUGGCAAGGGAUUCCUGGGAAUGUCCCCUCCAUGCUUCUAGUCCCUGCUAUGGGGGAGAGUGUAGACGGGGAGGAAUGGUGCUGAGUUGCCGACAAGAAAUCUAGCAUAUUUUCAUUUCUAAAGAACCAAUGGGCAAGGGCAAUGUUUAACCCAGAUGGGGACCAACAGUCCUCAUCAGAUGAAGGUGCAAGAGGCAUUGCUGAUGUGUGGAAGAGAGUGAGAAGCAGAGAAAGCCACAAAGGUUGGUCUCUGGGUCUCAGGCUCUUUGGAACUGCAUUUGAACAUGUGACCUGGCUCAGCCAAUAAGAUGUGUCCUAUGCUUCAAAUCAGGGGCUGGGAAAACAGAGAUGAGGGAGGGGUGGAGAACUUGUGGCAGAGGCAGCAAUGACUACAGUACCACAUUUCCAGGGAGCAGUGGUACAUUCCAAGCCUGCAGUGUGUCCAGUGAGCAGUUCUGGUGGGACGGUGGUGUGCAGGACCGGGACCUGGAACCACACGGAAGCAGUGUUCUCAUUAGACUAGCUCUGUGGCACAGUUCAGGCUGUGUUUUUGGUUGCAGAGUUUCCAAGCCUAGUUCUCUAGGCUUUCCCUUCCCAGUGAUUCACUGGGUUAACUAAUAUCUUUUCAGUGAGCUCAUUUUCUGCUUAAAUUAGUCAAGGUUGGUUCUGUUGCUUGCCACCAAGUAACUGACUAUAGUGAACUCAGAAGGCCAUUGUGAAGAUUAAAUGUAAAGAACUUAGCACAGGUCCUGGUACAUCACAAGCACCCAAUAUUAGUCAGGUUCUGCUGCAGAUAACCCGACCAGGUUAAACUGAAAGAGACUUGAUACAGGGGAUUAGGUGCUUGCAGGAUUGUUGGAUGUGCUGGACAAGCAGGUUCUAGGUAGAACUUGCAGGAAUGUCCCCCAGAAUAUAUCAACAAGAUUGGUGCACCAAGGGAGCUUCUAAAUCCUCUAUGGUUGGGAGGAUGGAGCUUCAGGAAGUCCCUGUCCCAAUUGCUGGCUCCAGGACCACGUUCCCUCAGCUGAGAGGCACAGAUCAGGAAACUGUGCUACUACUGUUGGUUCCAGGACCACGCUGCCUCUGCCUUGAUUGAUGACAAGAGAACGCAUGUCCAUAACCUUCCUCUCAGUAAUACAGUGCAAGGCACCCAUCACGCUGGACCUCUGCUAUCACUGCUGCAGGAAAAAACAAAUGCUCCCAGCAUAUGCUUACCAGUGCAGAGAGUGGAAAUACAUUCUCCACCUCACUUCUGGCUUCCAAACAGUGCAUCCAUUUUGGAAUAUAGGUGUCUCAAGGACCCAAUCUGUAGACUUGAGUUUGCCAACUUUUGAUCUGCAGUAAAGCACGCACAAAUGGAGCUGAGUGGGCCAACCCAUGAUGUCAGAAACACACCCUAAAUAUAGGGAUCACUUCCUGCUUAGUGCACCGCUUGCACUUCCCUACUCUCGCUUUUGGUGCCCUGCUUGCUGGUACCCUAAGCACAUGCUCAGUCUGCCCCUGCUAGACUAAGAACCCAAUGAGGAAAAGGUGAGCAGCCACAGCUUGGGUCUCCCAAGGCAGAGAGACAGAAAGUGGGCAGAAUGUCCAUUUCUUCUGUGCUCGGUGAACUAGUUUGACAGAACAAAAAGCCUUGCCGUGUUUCUUGUCUCUUCAAGCCUUGAGGCCUAGACUCAAAAUUAAUUCCCCCAAGGAGGUGCUCAAGAGGUGAUGCUUCAUGAUGCCUCUGGGACACGUGUGGGACGAAGAGACCAAAGCCUGGGGCAGGUAGAAAGAAGACUUCUCCCAUCCAUCUGAGUUAUCUUGGUGGGACACCAGUUAAGAAGGCAGAGCAGAAGUAGAGGACCUGCCAGUUCCUGGCAACAGCUUCUCCCACAGCAAAUCUGGGUCAUGUCUGAGGGAGGAUGCUGAUUGAGGCAUCUGGCACCCGAGCUCUGAAAAAAGCACAACUGGGCAGCGUGUCAGAAUCAGCCCUUGGCAGCACAGGGCAAGGUAGAGGUUAAGAGCAAGGGCCCUGGAGUCAGACAGACAUGGUGCUUAUGUGCUCAGGGAGUGGACAAAGUGACUUAAGCCCUCUGAGCCUUUGUUUCCUCUUCUGUAUAAGGAGGUUAAUACCUGUAUCGUGGGUGUGGGUAGCACUGAGUGUAGUGUCUGACACUGAGUAAGUCCUCCACAUGGUGAAGCAAUUAUUAAAAUGAAAAAAGGGAAGGGAAUGGACGCGUACUGAGGGCCUGCUGUGUGUCAGGCACUUGCUCUAUACCACGUCCUUUCAUCUUCACAGCAGCUCAGGGCCUCCAAGUUACCAAUAGAAACCCCUGGAGUGUGCAGUUCAGCAGCACAGAGGCAACCCUGUGAGGUGGAAAUUCUCCUUCCCAUUUUGUAGAGAAAGAAACAUCGGUAUAGCAGACACUUUCGGGGCCUCACCCGUAUCCUUUUGCCCUCACCACCUCAGCAACUUCCGACAGCUGACACCUGCAUUUCUUUGCCCAAGGAUUUCCUGUUGCUGUCAGGCUGGGAGGACUGGGACGUUAACAAUCCCCUUCCCAGCAGCUUUCAACCACUGACGACUGAUGGGCGUUUGUGCAGAAACACCCUGUCUGCCAUGACCCAGGGGGAUAACCCUGAGGUGUCAGUGCUGCACUGUCUCUCAAAAAUUCCCAAUGGGAUUAAGCUUCCUAUCUAAUAAGAUAUAUUUAUCCUUGUUACAAGUGAAGAAGUUCUCACCCUUUCCCCAAAGCGAGGAGAAGCGUGAUCCCCAUGUUCAUGGUAUCCAUUGCUAGUUUGGUUUUUUUAAACUUUAUAUUGGAGUAUAGUUGACUAAAAAUGUUGUGUUAGUUUCAGGUGUACAGCAAAGUAAUUCAGUUAUACAUGUAUCAAGUCUUUUCCCAUUUAGGUUAUUACAGAAUAUUGAGCAGAGUUCCCUGUGUCCAUUGCUAGUUAUAUUAAUUGUUCUUCACAAUCCCAUGGAAAAGUCUGUUACCUAAAGACCGAAUUGUAAAAUUAAGGUUAAAAUUUUACAUAAGACAAAAAUAAGAAUAAAGUAGCAUAUAAAAAUAAGCACAGGGACUUCCCUGGUGGCACAGUGGUUAAGAAUCCGCUUGCCGGGGCUUCCCUGGUGGCGCAGUGGUUGAGAGUCUGCCUGCUGAUGCAGGAGACACGGGUUCAUGCCCCGGUCCGGGAAGAUCCCACAUGCUGCGUAGUGGCUGGGCCCGUGAGCCAUGGCCGCUGAGCCUGCGCGUCCGGAGCCUGUGCUCCGCAACGGGAGAGGCCACAACAGUGAGAGGCCCGCGUACUGCAAAAAAAAAAAAAAAAAAGAAUCCGCUCGCCAAUGCAGGGGACACGGGUUCGACCCCUGGUCUGGGAAGAUUCCACAUGCCACGGAGCAGCUAAGCCCAUGCACCACAACUACUGAGCCUGCGCUCUAGAGCCCGUGAGCCACAACUACUGAGCCUUCAUGCCACAACUACUGAAACCCGUGCGCCUAGAGCCCGUGCUCCGCAACAAGGGAAGCCACCACAAUGAGAAGCCCACACACCACAACGAAGAAUAGUCCCCACUGGCCGCAACUAGAGAAAACCUGCAUGCAGCAACGAAGACCCAACACAACCAAAAAUAAAUGAAUGAAUAAAUGAAUAAAUGAAUUAAAUAAAUUAAAAAAACAAAAAAAUAAGCACAUAUAUAUAACAAGCAAAGAGAAUAUAUGCAGAGUUUCAUGUUACAGUCUUUGGCUGUAAUUGGUCGUGAGCUCACAGUUGAUGUCUAUGGCUUCCUUCUUUGCUACAUAUUCUUCAUUUUCCUUGCUCUCAGACAGGACCUGAGCUAAUUAAAACUCUUCACUUGAUGGAGUGACCCAAACCAUCCUUCUCAAAGGGUCUGAGUCCCCGGUUAUUCUACUUUUUGUUUGUUCAUUUGCUAUAGUUUUACCUUAACAUUGAUGACCCAGAAAAUCCACUGCAUUCUAGACAUAGUUCUUCUUGUCCCCAUUUUUUAGCUGCAAUCCAAUUUCCUCUUGGUUAUCAAGAUCAAUCAUUCUAUCCUGUAAAUAACCCACUUCCUGCUGUUUGCUUCAGUGGCAUAAGGAGCUCAAAACUGCCAGGUUGGGCUUCCCUGGUGGCGCAGUGGUUGAGAAUCCGCCUGCUACUGCAGGGGACACGGGUUCGAGCCCCGGUGUGGGAAGAUCCCACAUGCCGUGGAGCAACUAGGCCUGUGAGCCACAAUUACUGAGCCUGCGUGUCUGGAGCCUGUGCUCCACAACAAGAGAGGCCGCGAUAGUGAGAGGCCCGCGCACCGCAUUGAAGAGUGGCCCCCACUUGCCGCAACUAGAGAAAGACUUCACACAGAAAUGAAGACCCAACACGGCCAUAAAUAAAUUUAAAAAAUUAAAAAAAAAACAACAACAAAAAAGCUUGCCAGGUUAACAGUAUCAUUCAAUGGAACUGUUCUUGUGUCCUCUGGUUGAAGUAUUCCCACCCUGGAGACUAAGACCUCCAAACCACCAGAGUUCAAGGUUCCUGAGUUGGAAAGUAUGUUAUUGGGUAUCAUAGUGAGAGGAGACACUUCUACUUCUAUCUCUUUAUUAUUUAUGGUUCUUCAUAACCAGGAUCGGUGGUCUCUGAUUCAAAGCACAUACAGUGUCCUGUAAGACAGAACCCAUUCCUUUCAGGAUGUCGACUCACAACUGGUGCAGUAACUGAGUCUUCAGCAAGCUAUUCCACCUUCCAAUUAGUCCAGCCACUUCCAGGUGAUAGGGUGUGUGGCAAGAGCAAUUAAUUCCAUGGGCAUGAUUCCAUUUCUGCACUUUCUUUGCUAUGAAAUGAGUUCCUUGAUCAGAAUUAAUACUACAGGGAAUGCCAAGAUGGUAGCUAAAGCAUUCAGUGAGUCCACAGAUGAUGAUUCUGGCGGAUGCAUUAUGGUCAGAGAAGGCAAAUCGAUAUCCAGAACAUGUACCUUUUCCCAGGAGGAUGGAUCUCAGCUCCUUCCAAGGUGGAAGAGAUCCAAUGUAGUCAACCUGCUACCAGGUGUUUGGCUAGUUUCCCCAAGGAAUGGUGUCUAUUGGGAACUCAGUUUGAUCUCUUCUCUUGAUAGAUUAGGCACUCAGCAGUAGCUUUAGCCAAGUUGACCUUAUGGGGAAAUUCAUGUUGUUGAUCCUAUGCAUAGCUUCCACUUCUGUCUCCAUGACAACUUUGUUAAUGGACUCAUUAAGCAUGCACUGGGGUGGCUUGGGAAAGGGGAUGACUGACAUUCACUGAAUGCAUCAUUUGGUCUACCUGAUUAUUAAGAACCUCCUCUGCAGUGGAUACCCUUUGUGGAGGCAUUCAUAUGGGCACAAAUAUCCUCAUGGUGUGCGCCCAUUCUGAGGGGGUCCAUUCAUCUGCUUCUUCCCUAGACUGCUUUUUCACCAAUCUUCCAAUGAUGUUUCUUCUAAGUUCAUGACCGUAUGGCCAAAAUAUAUGGUCUGCCCAUGGAUUAAUAUAGAUCCUUCUGGCCUUCUCUCACUCUAGACAUAGUAGACAGCCAGAUGUAUUACUUGAAAUUUUGCCCAUUGGGAAGAUUUUCCUUUAUUAUUGCCCUUCAGGAUCACCCAUGAGUAGGGCUGUUGUGCAGCGGUUGUCCACAUUGAGGUGGUACCAGAAUUUUUUGCAUACUCAUCUGUAA